This is a non-coding RNA of Styela clava, 526 nucleotides long. Lineage: Eukaryota; Metazoa; Chordata; Ascidiacea; Stolidobranchia; Styelidae. The record is from RefSeq and is a predicted model, not a curated record.
CGCUUAACAAUCGCUGACAUAUAUUAUUUAUGAAGAUAUUUGACGUGUUAGGCAGCCAAUGUGGUCGUAUCUGACGGAACAAAGUGCAGAUAACUCUCCAGAUUCAAUUUGGUGUAUCAUCUUGUUGUCGUAUUUUCAAAAAAUUGCAACGGUUCUAUGUUGAAUUGUAUUGGGACAUCCAAGCUGAGACACAGACAAGAAGCCGGGCCAUUUUGCUUGUAAUUAAUAAUAAUAAAUCGUUUAGUUUAGUAGCCCUUGCAUAUUGAACGCGUUGUCAAAUGUCUCCGAUAAACCGAUAAAAACUUUCUUUAUCGGCUUCCCGAAAGUUACAAAAUAGACUAAUUAGAAUGCUGAACUCACAUCUUUUAUUAUACUUUUUCUCUCUGUUUAUCUUGUUGAUCUUCUUCGUCAUAAGAAAUUUGGUGUCUUUUUCAGACUCCACAUUUGUCGGAAAUGCGGGUAGGUGAGCUGUGCUUUCAGUGUAUCACUUGUUUUUAGAUUCUAGAAUAAAAAAAAGGUUAUAUUA